RNAcentral lists this ribosomal RNA (516 nucleotides) under Yersinia sp. (in: enterobacteria). RNAcentral describes it as "bacterial SSU rRNA". It matches the Rfam family "Bacterial small subunit ribosomal RNA", at positions 94 to 606 of the family's 1533-position model. Lineage: Bacteria; Pseudomonadati; Pseudomonadota; Gammaproteobacteria; Enterobacterales; Yersiniaceae. The record is from RNAcentral.
AGCGGCGGACGGGUGAGUAAUGUCUGGGAAACUGCCUGAUGGAGGGGGAUAACUACUGGAAACGGUAGCUAAUACCGCAUGACCUCGCAAGAGCAAAGUGGGGGACCUUCGGGCCUCACGCCAUCGGAUGUGCCCAGAUGGGAUUAGCUAGUAGGUGAGGUAAUGGCUCACCUAGGCGACGAUCCCUAGCUGGUCUGAGAGGAUGACCAGCCACACUGGAACUGAGACACGGUCCAGACUCCUACGGGAGGCAGCAGUGGGGAAUAUUGCACAAUGGGCGCAAGCCUGAUGCAGCCAUGCCGCGUGUGUGAAGAAGGCCUUAGGGUUGUAAAGCACUUUCAGCGAGGAGGAAGGGUUCAGUGUUAAUAGCACUGUGCAUUGACGUUACUCGCAGAAGAAGCACCGGCUAACUCCGUGCCAGCAGCCGCGGUAAUACGGAGGGUGCAAGCGUUAAUCGGAAUUACUGGGCGUAAAGCGCACGCAGGCGGUUUGUUAAGUCAGAUGUGAAAUCCCCGA